AAAAAAAAAGUAAAGCAAAAAAGAGUUUUUGUUAACUUAUGAAAAUAAGCUUUUUUUGAAACAAACUUAUGAAAAUAAGCUGAAGUGAAGUGAAAACGAGAAAAACAAGAAGAAGAAGAAGCAAGAUUAAUUAAGUGAACCUAUGACCCUUAUGACCCAAAAGAGUAAACCAAUUGAAACAAUAGCAAUAACAAAGGUGACACGUUGUUCAAGAUCACCAUUGAAAAUGGAAGAAGAAGAAUAAGAAAUUGAAUGAAGCAAGAAGAAAAAUACAAAGUGAGUGUGUAAUGAAGUAAAGUCCUUCUUUUGUGGCCAAUCACUUUCUGAUUGAGACACAAGUGAGGGAUUUUUGGGUUUGAAAUGAACAGUGAAGAAAGAGAAAGAAAAGUAAAAGGAUG
This 398-nucleotide long non-coding RNA is filed under the name Trifolium pratense (red clover). Its description in RNAcentral is "long non-coding RNA (TPRA_LNC002286)". Lineage: Eukaryota; Viridiplantae; Streptophyta; Magnoliopsida; Fabales; Fabaceae. The record is from RNAcentral.